GGAGAAUGUGCAGCAGCUCCAGCUCUGUGCCUGCAGCUCCCAGGGAAUGCCUGCCUGCAUGGCAGCAUCCAUGGAGCCCUGCUCUGCUGUCCUGGCCAGUUACUCCAAGGCUGAAUUCAGCAUAUGAUGAACAACUUGUUCUCCAAAGCUGGAACUUAGGGGAGAAGGUUUUCGGGAUGAUCACGCAACUCUGGGGCUCCUUCUCAAGCAGCUGAAGCUCCCACAAGAGGGAUGAUAUUGAUGUAAGAUCAUUGCGCCAGAUGCAGGAAAUGGACCCCGAUGUCAUACACAGAAAAGGUGCUGGGCUGAGAUUGCAGCAUUCCAGCCUUUUGCUGUGCAUCCCACCCCAUGUGCCUGUGUCAGCAGUGGUGGGACAGCUCUGCAAUAUACUGCUAGAAAACUUUCCUCUU
Melospiza melodia melodia is the source of this 410-nucleotide long non-coding RNA. RefSeq lists it as uncharacterized. The transcript is spliced from 3 exons. NCBI's taxonomy places the organism in Eukaryota, Metazoa, Chordata, Aves, Passeriformes, Passerellidae. The record is from RefSeq and is a predicted model, not a curated record.